UGCGUUGCAGCUCCCAUAGACCCUAGCGCUAGAGUUCCCUUUAGUAAGUAUUGUGGGAAACUGUAUGGGUUGCGCAACGUGAGGUGCUGCAUUGUGCGCGGCGUGCUUAAAUAUCGUCGUUGGGUUUAUCCUGCUGCAUAAGCUGUGGAAGGCUACCAGUGCCCUGACUGACUGACCACUGCCAUCACUAUGACAGAUCCCCCAAGACCUUUGCUGAAUUUGAUGCAAUAAAUUUGACUAAAGGCAAUCA
Molecule: long non-coding RNA, 250 nt
Organism: Rhipicephalus microplus (southern cattle tick)
Lineage: Eukaryota; Metazoa; Arthropoda; Arachnida; Ixodida; Ixodidae
Source: RefSeq, a predicted model, not a curated record